AAUCAACCGAGAUUCCCCCAGUAGCGGCGAGCGAACGGGGAGCAGCCCAGAGCCUGAAUCAGUAUGUGUGUUAGUGGAAGCGUCUGGAAAGGCGCGCGAUACAGGGUGACAGCCCCGUACACAAAAAUGCACAUGCUGUGAGCUCGAUGAGUAGGGCGGGACACGUGGUAUCCUGUCUGAAUAUGGGGGGACCAUCCUCCAAGGCUAAAUACUCCUGACUGACCGAUAGUGAACCAGUACCGUGAGGGAAAGGCGAAAAGAACCCCGGCGAGGGGAGUGAAAAAGAACCUGAAACCGUGUACGUACAAGCAGUGGGAGCACGCUUAGGCGUGUGACUGCGUACCUUUUGUAUAAUGGGUCAGCGACUUAUAUUCUGUAGCAAGGUUAACCGAAUAGGGGAGCCGAAGGGAAACCGAGUCUUAACUGGGCGUUAAGUUGCAGGGUAUAGACCCGAAACCCGGUGAUCUAGCCAUGGGCAGGUUGAAGGUUGGGUAACACUAACUGGAGGACCGAACCGACUAAUGUUGAAAAAUUAGCGGAUGACUUGUGGCUGGGGGUGAAAGGCCAAUCAAACCGGGAGAUAGCUGGUUCUCCCCGAAAGCUAUUUAGGUAGCGCCUCGUGAAUUCAUCUCCGGGGGUAGAGCACU
Molecule: ribosomal RNA, 647 nt
Filed under: Escherichia coli
Lineage: Bacteria; Pseudomonadati; Pseudomonadota; Gammaproteobacteria; Enterobacterales; Enterobacteriaceae
Description: partial 23S ribosomal RNA
Rfam family: Bacterial large subunit ribosomal RNA
Source: RNAcentral